This is a long non-coding RNA of Fukomys damarensis (Damara mole-rat), 4160 nucleotides long. RefSeq lists it as uncharacterized. The transcript is spliced from 2 exons. The record is from RefSeq and is a predicted model, not a curated record. NCBI's taxonomy places the organism in Eukaryota, Metazoa, Chordata, Mammalia, Rodentia, Bathyergidae.
GACAAUCAAAGUAGUCUGACACCACCCCAUGCCGAGAGAAGAGUAGUGGAUAAGCCUGCAGGUUUGGUUUCAGGAACUUCAUGAAGGUCUCUUGCUGACUCCAUUACACUACCAGACACUUACCUCCAUGUCAGGGUGAAUGUUUAUUAGGCAGGAGGGAAGAUAAACAGGUGUUAGAGAAGGUUGCUGAGGGGAGGUCUCUAAAUCCACUCCCCACCCUGAGGCUGGGUAAAGCUUCUGUGCAGACCCAGCAAACCUGGCACCACUGAGCCAAGUAAAACCAGCAGUUAUGCCAGCUGAAGCACAACCUCCCAAUCGUUAGUGAGGCAGUGCCCACAGGCUUGUGUUCCUUUCAUAAGGCCGUCCUGGAGCCCAAGGGCUUUGGGUACAACAGCGGCAGUGCCUCUUGCCAUACCUGCCCCUCAAGCUCACAAUACUUGCUGUCAGAUCAAGUAAGCUGAGAACAUUAGAUGUACUUGGAAAGGACUGGUCAGAAGCCAUUUCUUCUGAUCAUUUCCCUUCCUACUCACCAAUGAGACACUCAGGAGCCCACACGGUCUCUGUGCGACCUGGGGGCCCCCGAGUGCUGCCCACUCCCCCACAAGUGGUGUUCCUUGUAGCUGCUGCUGUCUGCCUGUUGGUUUGGGAGAGCCCUCGGGGGCCCCAGAGGAGCACUUUCCUAAGGGUGAUCGUCUGGCCCUGCUGGAUGAAGAGGAUGCUGACCCCAUUGCCUUGCCCCUUCUCUGUUCUUUCCCCUCUUGCUUUUUCUACUUAAAAUGCCUGCCAGUGACUUUUUAAGUUUAUCCCAAAUAAGAUCUCUAUGUAAUUCAAAAGCCCAAAGCCAGUGAUCCAGUCAGAAUUAUAACCGGGCUCUGCCCCUCCCCACUGGUGUGUGCCUCAGUAUUUAGACUUGGAUUGCUGACUGCAAGUGUCUUUAAAGGAGAGAAAUGCAUGCUGCUCUUUGGCUUUUUCUGCCCCACUCUUCUAGAAAUGAUUCAGCAGACUAGGACCUGUCACUGCAAAGCAGCAGCAGGUGACAAAGGACAUGCUUCUCCACAGCCUGCUUCCCUUCCCUGUCACAGGAGUGCUUCCUACAGCAGGUGUGAGGAAGUUUUCACCAGAAACAGUCUGCUGACAGAGGAUGGAGGGGCUUUGCUGCUCUGCUCGUGGCAUGGCUCCAGGAAUUUCUUCUGGAACCCAGCCUCCACCAUCUUAGAAUGAGAGCAAACCUGUCCUUGGCUCAGGUGGCUGAAAUCAGAGAGGACAAAAAUUCCCAUUUGCCUAGAAAAGUGCUGGGCAGAAUCCAGUUUGGAAAAUUACUAAUCCACUUGGUCGAAACUGGCUGUUUCCUACGGCUGACCUAUUUGUGGUAUGCCAACUGGACUGCUUCCUAAACAGGGCAAGAGAAGUGCGAACUAUUUUUAUACGAACGCCUUAGCCUGUUUGGCCCCAUGAGAACUCUUUACACACACACACACACACACACACACACACACACACUCUCUCUCUCUCUCUCUCUCUUGUGUUGUGGCAUGAUUGCACUGAAUGCUGCAACACCCAGUUUACAGUGAAAUGUUUUCAGUGACCAAUGUCAGAAGUGGCUUGCUUCUGGCCUAACCUCAUUAAUGGCCAGCAUGUACCCUUUUCCAUGGAAGCCUUGGGACAGACAUCCUCUUUCCUCUUUCUAGUGGAGCUCCAAGUUUUUCCCUUCAGGGGAGGAAUGCCUAUGAUCUAUAUAAACUAUUGCCACUCACAGCUUCUGAAGGAUUCUAGCAUUUCAGUUACAGCUUUCUUCUGUCCCCCCGGACCUGUGAACUAAGGAGACAGCCUCACCAAGUUCCUGCCUUUGUGCAGAGACAGAAUAAGUGACCUCACUGCAACAGAGCUGCAGACAGGCUGAGGCAGUGGGUGCCAGAUUGGAUCUCAGGCAUGGGGCCUGGAUGGUCAGAGCUGUCCUCUGCAGUGGGCUCCAUCUCAGGGUCUACUGUGCCCAGAAGAGGUGCCACUAACCUUACUUUCUCCACAAUUGCGGAUGUGGACCUCUUCAAAGACAGCAUUCCUUCUGCGAGAACCAGCUGGAGAUGUGAGUAUUUCUUCAUGAUCGCUUCUUCCAGUGCAUGGCGGCCUACAGUGGCAGGAGGCAGGCCCAGUAUCAUAACAGUUCUGGCAGCUCUUAGCCACCCAACUUCAGUGUUUGCUCCCUACACCUGUCCGCUUCCCACCCCCGAGCCAGGCCUUUCUUGUGUCUGCCACGCUGGACGUGCAAACAGCAGACCCUUUCAUUAAUGUCAUCUCUUCAUUCUGACUAAAUCACGAGGUUUUUUUUAUCUGAAGGAAACUAUAUCCAGAUUUUUUUUUUAAAGAAUGACUUUUACUUUAUACUCUUGCUCAGGCUCAAACCCACAGGGAGGCUGCCCUUUCCACAUCCAUGAGCUGCUGGUGAGCUGCGGUUAAAGUGUGUGAAUACACGGAGACUCUGGUCUGCUCUUGGACCACUGCUUGCUGUAUUGUCAGUGUCUUAAGCAGCUCACUGUGUGCUGUGGGUUAAUGGAGUAUAACUGUGCCCCAGCUAGGGUGCAUGGUGGCAAAAUCAUUAUCUGGUUGUUGCUAGGGGCACAACUGAAUUUAACUGGCUGUAGAAAUGGAACAAAUAUAGCCUAAUUUAAUUCCCACUGGGUCAGCAUGUGCAGCUUUUCUUUGCCCAGUAAGAUUUGGUUAGGCCUGUCCCUGACAGACAAGGUCCUUGUGGACUGUGCUUGCCUAGCCAGGGAGCAGGGCAAGACAGAAAUGGCCAACUAGGGACAAGUGGCCUCUGGGGAGGUCUGAGCUAAGGAAUACAGGGAACCUCCCACCACUACCAAGAAAGUUGUUCUUGACAAGACUUGUCUAAUGAAGACUAUUUUUAUGGCCCCACUACAAAGCACAUCAGUCUCCAUGGCCUGACCCUGUUCUACUUUGAAAGAGAGCAACUAUCUUGAGAGGCUUCCUAGGGAUGGUGAAAUGUACACAGGAGGUAUCCCAGAGCUCUAGACAGAAGCAUUUGCAGUGAUAUGAAUCACCCCCUGGGCACUCACUUGCCUUGUGCCUUUCUGCAGGUCAGCCCCUCAAAGCCACAUUCCUUAUCCACAACCCAGUGACUAUAGUUAACAGUGACUGUACAGCCUUUUGGGAGGAUGAGCUCAAGAGUGCUAAUCAGGCCUGGGGUCAGUGUGCCACAGAUACCACAGAGCAUCACUGUCCUGAGCCUCCUGAGCGGCAGGGACCUGGUCCCAUCCUUCCCUGUCCUCAUCUUCCAUGGUCACCUCCAUCUGCCUCUGCCCACACAGCAUACUAAUUUGGUUGCUAGUGCUGAGUCUUCCUUUAAUCUUUUCAAUGGGUAUUUCCCAUGAAAGUGCACAAAUUAUAGUUGUCUUCCUUGCAGUCCUCACCCUAUGAUCACCAUUAAGUUUAUUCUUCAUGUAUCUUUCCAGAUAUUGUACAAAGACUCACAGGUUUACAUGUAAUCUUUCGCCCUUUUUGUUCAUGAUAGAAAGGAAUUCAAGAGACAUUCCUACACAUGGAGAUAGAACCAUCCACAAGUCAGAACAUCUAUAAAGAGAGGCCAGAAUUGGGAGAUAUUUUUGCAAUGACAUUCCCUUUGAAGAAGGCCUGUUUCUACUUGGUUCCAACACUCUAGAAUUUUAGUUUCCUGUAUAAAACAGAAACCAGUCCUUCCCUUACUCCAAAUGCCCAGCUGAUCCAACAGCACCAGUUUUCCAUGUCUUUUGCACAGCCUCUUCCCCACCCUGACCAGCCUCUGCUGGUGUCCUAAACAAGUUGGCACCUCUCCCCCUUGGCAGCUUCUCCAGAAGGACCAGGAGUGACCCUCAGUGAUGUUCAGCUGCAACUGUCAUGGUCUCCGAGACCAAGCAUCAGCACUCUUGGCUACCAAUCCAGACCUCAGGCCUGUGGCCAAUGGGUCAGGGAGAAUACCCUUGCUGCUUCACAGACAAGGUGUGAGCCAGAACAUGGGCUUACCAGGGCUGUGAGGCUUGCUUGUGCUUUGCUGGAACCCCUCUCAGCUCCCCGUGCCAGGUACGGUCUGGAAGGUCUGUCUCUGGGCCUGCUAUGCACUGUUCCUGUCCAUCUACAUUCCUCCCUGGCCCAGGUGACACAGGCAA